CUCUUAUCAUUUUUGGCAAUUAGCGGCAAGGGAUGGCCAAUUUUGCCAAUUGGCCAAAGGUCGCUCGGCGACUUUCCCAAAAUGUUCGUCGCAAAACUGUCUGUAAAGUGGUUCAAUUUGCCAUAAAUCGCCCAAUCUGGUCACACUGGCUGUUCUCAAAUAUGAUUCAUUAAUUAUGUUCAUUUUUAUAACAUUAGUGUAAUGCAUAGGUAACUGAAGAGCUUAGCUAAUCUCAAACGCCUCCACCCACACACUUUACUGUAUAGCCGAUUGCCUACCACACAUAGAUAAAUAGAGUCAGGCCGUUCGGUCGACGUAAGUCGCAUCCAUCACCAUAUGUUUGCAUCAUUCAAAAUGGCGGUUCUGAACUUGUCUGCAGAGUCAAGGCGUAUUUUAAUCGCCCUUAUACCUAGAUGUAUUUUAUUGUGUUUGUUGGUCUGAAGUUUUACAAUGAUAACUAAAUAAAUAGUUGAUCGUGAUUAAAACUGUAAGAGCUACGGGUAGCGACAGAGCUUUAACGGCAAAUGUAGCAGUCAUUCCCAUCACAGAUAUGUGACUUAGAUAUGAUAGAAAGCGCCUUCCGAGUAUCCGCCUACUUAAGUAUUUUAUACUUGAUAUGACAUUUCGAAUGGAUCUUUUUCACCAUGUGAAUUUAAUAAAAAUAUGUUUGCU
Long non-coding RNA from Dendroctonus ponderosae (mountain pine beetle), 672 nucleotides. RefSeq lists it as uncharacterized. Lineage: Eukaryota; Metazoa; Arthropoda; Insecta; Coleoptera; Curculionidae. The transcript is spliced from 2 exons. The record is from RefSeq and is a predicted model, not a curated record.